Molecule: ribosomal RNA, 165 nt
Filed under: uncultured bacterium
Lineage: Bacteria
Description: partial 16S rRNA
Rfam family: Bacterial small subunit ribosomal RNA
Source: RNAcentral
UAGGGAAUCUUCCACAAUGGACGCAAGUCUGAUGGAGCAACGCCGCGUGAGUGAGGACGGUCUUCGGAUACGUAAAACUCUGUUGUUAGAGAAGAACACGAGUGAGAGUAACUGUUCAUUCGAUGACGGUAUCUAACCAGCAAGUCACGGCUAACUACGUGUCAG